UACAGAGGGUGCGAGCGUUAAUCGGAAUUACUGGGCGUAAAGGGUGCGUAGGUGGUGUCGUAAGUUAGAUGUGAAAGCCCUGGGCUUAACCUGGGAAUUGCGUUUGAUACUGCGUCGCUAGAGUAUUGUAGAGGAAAGUGGAAUUUCCGGUGUAGCGGUGAAAUGCGUAGAUAUCGGAAGGAACAUCAGUGGCGAAGGCGACUUUCUGGACAAAUACUGACACUGAGGCACGAAAGCGUGGGGAGCAAACAGG
RNAcentral lists this ribosomal RNA (253 nucleotides) under uncultured prokaryote. Its description in RNAcentral is "partial 16S ribosomal RNA". It matches the Rfam family "Bacterial small subunit ribosomal RNA", at positions 524 to 776 of the family's 1533-position model. The record is from RNAcentral.